This 31-nucleotide non-coding RNA is filed under the name Rattus norvegicus (Norway rat). The record is from RNAcentral. Lineage: Eukaryota; Metazoa; Chordata; Mammalia; Rodentia; Muridae.
UAAGUGGUGAGACAUCCGCACUGUGAGAACC